RNAcentral lists this ribosomal RNA (567 nucleotides) under Polyporales sp. 2 SR-2012. RNAcentral describes it as "eukaryotic LSU rRNA". The stretch from base 241 to 394 matches the Rfam family "5.8S ribosomal RNA". Lineage: Eukaryota; Fungi; Basidiomycota; Agaricomycetes; Polyporales. The record is from RNAcentral.
UGAACCUGCGGAAGGAUCAUUAUCGAGUUUUGAAAAGGGUUGUAGCUGGCCUUCGGCAACAAGUCGGAGGCAUGUGCACGCCUGGCUCAUCCACUCUCAAACCCCUGUGCACCUUUUGUAGGCUUCGGCAGAGAGGACUGACUUCGGUCGGUUCAGGAAGCCUUGUGCCUAUGUCACACAUACAAACGCUUCAGUUUAGAAUGUAACGAAUCGUGCGCCUCGGUGCAACGAAAUAAAUACAACUUUCAGCAACGGAUCUCUUGGCUCUCGCAUCGAUGAAGAACGCAGCGAAAUGCGAUAAGUAAUGUGAAUUGCAGAAUUCAGUGAAUCAUCGAAUCUUUGAACGCACCUUGCGCUCCUUGGUAUUCCGAGGAGCAUGCCUGUUUGAGUGUCAUGAAAUUCUCAACCUUUGAAGCUUUUUUUUGAGCUCGCAAAGGCUUGGACUUGGAGGUCGUGUCGGCUCGUAACAAAGUCGACUCCUCUGAAAUGCAUUAGUGUGAAACCUUCGCAGGAUCGCCUUCGGUGUGAUAAUUGUCUACGCCGUCGGUCGUGAAAGUCGAAACAUAC